CCCGCACAAGCGGUGGAGUAUGUGGUUUAAUUUCGAUGCAACGCGAAGAACCUUACCUGGUCUUGACAUCCCGGAGACCCUUAGGAAACUAGGGGGUGCUUCCAUCUGGAAGAAUCUGGAGACAGGUGCUGCAUGGCCGUCGUCAGCUCGUGUCGUGAGAUGUUGGGUUAAGUCCCGCAACGAGCGCAACCCUUGCCUUUAGUUGCCAGCAGUUCGGCUGGGCACUCUAAAGGGACUGCCGGUGUUAAACCGGAGGAAGGUGGGGAUGACGUCAAGUCCUCAUGGCCUUUAUGACCAGGGCUACACACGUACUACAAUGGCCGAUACAAAGGGCAGCGACACUGCGAGGUGAAGCCAAUCCCGUAAAAUCGGUCUCAGUCCGGAUUGGAGUCUGCAACUCGACUCCAUGAAGUUGGAAUCGCUAGUAAUCGUGGAUCAGCAUGCCACGGUGAAUACGUUCCCGGGCCUU
This 469-nucleotide ribosomal RNA is filed under the name uncultured Desulfobulbus sp. RNAcentral's name for it is "bacterial SSU rRNA". It matches the Rfam family "Bacterial small subunit ribosomal RNA", at positions 920 to 1382 of the family's 1533-position model. The record is from RNAcentral. Lineage: Bacteria; Pseudomonadati; Thermodesulfobacteriota; Desulfobulbia; Desulfobulbales; Desulfobulbaceae.